GCAGGGAGUGGAGCAGGAGGGCGGCUCUUGUCGUGACUUGUCAGAGAGCUCGGAUCCAUCGGUUGGAGCUCAUCUGGGACAUCUGAUGGAGCGGAAUGGCUCUCUAUUAUUGGUCUGGGAGAAGCUCGAAUAUCCCUGAAGCUGCUGACGAGUCUACUGUUGUCAGAUACCUUAGGCGCUGAUACUUCAGGUGGGAGUCACCUGUCGUAGAAGCUCGGAUAGAGACUUUCCAUUGGUGAAGCCCGAUAGGAAUCUGAUUACUAGAGAAGUUCGUCUGGGAUUCGUCCGAUGUGAAAACUUGCCUGAAGAUGAUCCGUUGGGAAAGUUCGAUUUUAUGAAGGAUCUAGUGGAGGGUCGGCCGGUGAUGGACUUCGGAUGGUGUUGGGGAGGUUCGACAGACAUCGGAGGUGAUCGGUCAUUGUAGGAAUCCAGCAACUGGAGUCCGACCAUCGUAGAAGCUCGUCCAAUAUCCAACCACUACGGAAGUUCGGUCGAAGUCUGGUUCUUGUAGAAGGCUGAAAGGAGACCGUCUAUUAUAGAAGCUCGGUCGAAGAUCGAUUGUCGCGGGACCCGACUACGAAGAAGCUCGGCUGAAGUCUACCUGUAAUGGAAGUUCAGAAGG
Molecule: long non-coding RNA, 622 nt
Filed under: Elaeis guineensis (African oil palm)
Lineage: Eukaryota; Viridiplantae; Streptophyta; Magnoliopsida; Arecales; Arecaceae
Description: long non-coding RNA (EGUI_LNC070289)
Source: RNAcentral